AAUAAUAAUAAUUUCUCGUUCGAGUAUCUAUCAUCCAAUUUAUUCUUCUAUUUAGAGAUUGCAAUUACAUUUCUAUAUCGUUUAAAAAUUUCUCUCUCGAACCGCUCCCCCCAAGGAAUAAUUUCCCUUCGUUCCCGCUUUUUUUCCAACCCCGCAAAUAAAUCUGCCUCGACUAGCGACACGAUUUCCCGAAUCCCAACGGCCCUCCUGGAAGCAUUACAUCUUACAUCACGACCGAAGGAGAACGGAACCAUGGUCCCAGGACAAGGAGGUGGAAGUUUGAGCGGUCUAAUUUCUCGAUAGUCGAUGGCUGCGCCCUUUCCAACACGACUUUCGACCCUUCCAACUUUUCUCUUCCGUCAUUACAUCAUUCUGAGCAUCGCAUCCUCGCUAAAAAAAGAUCUAUCGAUUAUGUUUUGGAGUUGAAAAUAAUCGCGUGAAUAUUUCACGAAUAUUAUGUUUGAAUUCUCGAGGACAAUCGAUAAUAAUUUCAAUAAACAGGCGUAUUUCGCUCGAACGAUAUUUAUAAACAUUUUCCUCGGCCAAUUCGUGGAACACUUUCUCGUUCGCAAAAUGUCAACAUUCGCCGGCGACGUAGUUUAUAAAUCUCCUCAGUCGAGGAGUUUCGUUCGACGAGUAAAGUAAAUACUAGCAAGCGUCUUUUAAUUAAUUUAUUAAUCGUUAAGAAAAUAGAAUAAUCGUUAAAAUAAUCGAAUUAUUUUUAUAUAUUUUACAAGUUAGUACAAUUCGGUAGUGUAAUUUUGGUGUGCAGUGUUAAAAUCCAUACUCUAAAAGAAUAUUUCAAUUCAACGAACUCUCAACAUUCUUCAAGCCUUCGCAAUAUUCGUCGUCACGGCGAAAGAAAGGGACAUAGCGAUAUCAAAACAAAGAAAUUGAGGAAAAACCUAAGAAUUCUGAAUCAAUUCUCCAAUAAAUUCUUCGACAAAUCGAAGAAAUCUUCGUAUCGGAUCGAAAAAUCGGAAGGAAGAGAUGCUGUCUCGAGGAAAACUAGAUGCGACUGACGCAUAAGAGGGGGCGGAAAACAAUAAUGGGGGGCGAAGGUUUAAACAAAAUAGCCGUUGUCCGCGGAAAGGAUAAUUGGAACGUUUCGAGCGAGCACCUCGAGGGAACGAUCGAGAAGCAAUUGUUUCGUCCGUUUUCGCGCGUGCACACCUGCCGUUCUUUGAUUCGUUCACUCGAUGGGACGAGUUAAAGCGAUUAGGGAAGGGCCCUUUGUUUCCACGCGAACGUUUGGUAAAUUUACAUCGGUUAACUGGUGAUAGAUAAAGCGGAUCGAUUCGUGGUCGAAUUGAAAAAACGUCACGCGGGAUCGGUCGUUAAGGUAACUCGUUCACCUCGUUACCAUGGAUUUGCCGCUCUUUGCAUCUACGUGGAUUAUCAUACCUGAUCGUGAUUCCCCUCUUCUCUCUUGAUAUCAUCUCUUGUUAUUAGCGAGUGGAUUUAUAAAUCGGACAUUUAUUCGUCUGGGACAAUGUACGAAUGUAAAAAGUUAUUUUUUUAUCUCGUGCGGUGUAGAUAAAGUGAUAAAGUGAAUCGAGAAGAGGAAAAGGAAAAUUGAUAGAUUGUGAAUAGUGAUCGAGAGUGUGUUUUUUUUUUUGUUUUAGGGAAAUGAACGUUCCAAAGAUUUUAUCGAGGAUUUAUCAAAUUGUACAUCGAAUUGUUACUAUUAAAUUUUAAAUAAGAUAUUUUUGUAAAUCGAGAAAGAAAUUGAAUUAAAUUAGCCAUGUUACAAAGAUUAUUCACUGUUCGGCUAAUGAAUAUUUUUUAUUCAUCAAUAACACACUCGAGAUCAAAAAUAAACUUCUCGGUGAUAAAUUAUUUUCCUGUAUUCUUAAAUUCUCGUGCCUGUUUGCCUUUCUUCGAUCGGAUGUCAGCUUCGUUUCAAUAAAUCAUCCUUUUCGAGAACUCAAAGGCUCGACAAGGCUUGACUUUUGCUCGACGAUUUGCUCGAGGUCAAGAACGUCAUUCGUAAAAUUAACAUUUACUUAAAAAAAAAAAAAAAAAAGAAAGAAAGAAAGAAAAAAGGGGAGAGAGAGGAAGAGAGAGAGAGAGGGAGAGAGAGAAGAGGAAAAAGAGAAAAAUGAAUCGAUGAAGUGACCGCUAUUUGCCUUUCAGAUUAAUGGAGAUUGCGCGAACGUUAUCAAAGCACCGAACCAGCUUUCACUGUCGAACGUGGUAAAUUUAUAACGGAUCACAGGAAAUUCCUUUUAAGCCUCCAACCUCGGAGAGAUCGUUUAAGAAUCUCGCGCCGGAUUUCGCGCCGGUGGAAUAGUUAAACACCUCGUUUUGCGUUAUCUUUUUGAAAUCCAUCGCCACGUAAAUCGAUAAUCGUUUUAUUUUAUUAAAUUGCUUGCUUUUAUCUCGAAUCGUUCGAGAGUCUACUCUAUCCAUUUGCUAUCCAGAGUAAAAUGAAAUUUAAAGGGAAUGAAAGGGAGUCGGACGAAAGACGAUCGCGAAAAAGAUUGAAAAGAGAAUAACGAAGAUCUUUGAUUGAAGAAGAAAUCGAGAUAACUUUUGUGUAAUAGAAAAAAAGAAAAGGAAGAAGAAAAAGGAAGAUAGAAAUUUGAAUUUUUUCUAUCGUUUAACUUCUAUGCAAAUUCAUUCAGAGGAUGAAAGUUGAGUGAGAAAUUUUUCUUUUUUUACCAAUUAAAUGUUACACAGUAUUUUAAUCGAUCACACGGACGACCAUUACGUGCUUCUUAAUCAAUAAUAACUUUUACAACGAUUCGUAUUUGAAAAGUUCUUUAUUUUUCGAAAUGUUAACGAACACUUUUUCAUUUUUUUUAAUGAAACUUUAUGAACGCGUACAGCAUAAUGGGUUAUACAUGAAGCAAUUUUCUUUCUCCGAAAAUAUCACUUUAAAGAGGUGAAAUCAACGCUCAAAGUUUCACUAUGAUUUUCGCUUUUUAAAUAUAACUUUGUAAUGAAGCGAGAUAGAGCGAAAUUUUAAAUUACGAAAUGUCCAUAAUUUAGCGUUCUAACGCUAAAGAAAUACCGAAACUUCGAUUUCACGUCCUCGGGAAAAUUUCCAGUAGAAAAAGAACAAAAAAAAAAAAAGUUACGUUCUACAUAUUUUAUUAAAAAAUUUUUAGGUUAGAUAAAUUUCUCUCCGCUUUCGCCGCGUUACGUAACAUCAUUUAAAAUAACGACAAGUUUUUCCAAAUUAAAUUUUCAACAUCGAUAUCAAAGAUUUCGAGAUCAAACAACUUGAUAAAAUUGAACGCCGAUAUAAAGGAACGGAACCGAUCCAGUGCCAUCGGUAAACAAAUCCGGAAGAAAAUUCCUCGAUCCUCUUACGAAUUGCGCCUCUUACCUUAAUUUCCCGACCAUAUUUACCUCGUUUACCAUUAAAAAUCGGUAAAGAGAGAAAAGAAAAAGAAAAGAAACCUUCGACAAACUAACUGCAAUUUCGAGGCCGAUCCUACAUUCUUAUUUAACAUUCCACUCUCGCAUCCUCUCGGCCAAGAAUAAAUUAGUCGCUCGAGAUUGCCCCGUUCGAAUCUCCGCGCGCAAAAUUCGAUUUAAUUACUGGCGGCCAGACCCCGCGAGUUCGUCAUUAAUUACCGGGGGGAGGGGAGGGGGGCGAUCGUUAAGUAACGCGAGUCCUCUGGCUGUCGGGGAAUAAAAAAGGGGCGGCGGCCAAAUGGUGCCAUAAAGCGGGGCGCUCCGUUUUAACGAAUAGCGCGGUGCAACGCCGUUCAAUUUUUACGAUCGCCGCGAAAAAUCGGUCACGGAAACGAAUCGCCGCGUACGCGAUUUUGUAAAUAAUCAACCCGGCUAAUGCGUUUUAUUGUUGGGUCGCGGCGAGACCCAACCCCCCCUUUUGCCGAUACCUUCUCGCUUUUAAAAUAUGCGCGCCGCGUAUAUGCGUAAAUCGUUUUUAUCGAUUCGAGGAAAUAAUCGUCGAUAUCUUCGUCGUUUGAAAUUAUCCGUUGUUGCUUAUUUCCAGUUUUGGGUUGAAUAUUCAAUUAUUGGAUCGAGUUCCAGAAGAAAAAGAAAUUGUUCGAUAUGGGAUUUAUGUGUAAUAAUAAUAUCAUUUUUUUCAGUUUUUUCUUUCGAGCUAAAACUCUGGAUAUGGAUGCACAUGUUUUUGGAUCGUGAUAUACGAAGGGAUUUCUCGAUAAUUUUUAAUAAUUUUGUACGAGGUUUGGCAAGUUUCAAAGUUUCGUAAGUAAUUGAAUCCAAGAUAAUUGAAGAUAUAUGAUUAAAUCACACCUAAGACGAAGACAUUCCUUAAUCGUCGCUUAUUUUACCCUAAACCGUGAAAUCAAAAAGCGGAGAGGAAGGAAAAAUUCAAGAAUUCCACGCGAAAAUAUCGAGGAAGAUCAUUACGAAGGAAAAUCAACCACAUGGACGCACACCCAGCUGUCAUCGACUCCAACGUUUCUUUGGCCAGUCGCGAGAGCAUAUGGCGAUUGAGAAAGAGAGAGAAAGAAAGGAGGAAUUAUCAGAGACACAGCGAGGACGCGGCCGAGACGAGCGAACAAGAUGAUCGGGGAUGAAAAAGGUGCUGCGAGGCGUCGGUGGUUUUGUUGGUGCAAGAAAGGAGAACCCCCGCUGAGAAUCGCGCUCAAAGAAACCGACUGUGUCGGCCUUUCCUGCCCUCCCCCCUCUUCGUCUGGCCAGCUGUCCAUAAAUCUUCGGCCCUAAACAAAAGCAGGAAAAAAAUGAAGGGCAUCAAUUAAAGGCGGCGACUCGGGCCUGGCUGAUGACGCUUGAAAAUUCGCCGAGCAGAGCGUAGUGCACCCCUUUGGCGCCUCGCGGGCAUAACACCGAUCGUUAGAGAAUGACGCGCACGUGUCUUCAACAUGUUUCACCCACCGGAUCAUUGCAAAGUGAGUAAGUUGUAAGAAAGAAAAAAAGAAAGACAUCGAAUUUAUCAAAAAUUUGAAAGAAAUGAUGAUUUCUAAAGAUGAGAGCGAAGAGUUUGUCAGGAAUUAUGAGGAAAUUUGAAGAAGGUGCGGAGAUUUGAAGAAGGGGGAAGGGGAAUCGUGACACGGCCAUCUUCGCUUUAAAAAGUGGAAUUCAUUACACCGGUAAUUGAAAAUCGCUAUAAACGUGAUCGACCAACUUUCCAACGAAACGCAGCACGGAAUCGAGAGCUUUAUCCUCUAUUAAAAUCCUUUCGAAAAUUAAACGAAUAUGGCAAUGAUCUCGUAUCAGUUUCACUUUAUACAAAGAUUUCAUAAGGUUUUCGUACAAACAAAAGAGACAGAGAGUAAGAUAAUUCAUCUCGGUUGAAAAUGACUUCAACGUAAUGAUUCUCGUCGGCUUCAUCAACCGGGUUACUUGGAACGAGUAUCGACUGACGCGGGUCGGGUUUUGAAAAGAGGAGAAAAAGAAUCGCCCGUCCGUUCACGUUUAAAAAUAUUGACUCGUUUUUUAACGGAAGUUGAAAGGAAGUUGAAACGAAAGUUGCCAUUGAAAUACGAUCCCAUUGUGCUGUCGCGAUCCGCGGAUGCUCCCUAGCGCAGGCGGUCUCGUUUCGUUCGUUCGGAAGAAAAGGGCACCGCGAAAAUAUCCUUCUUCGGCCGGUCUCGCGAAGAAAUGAUCGAGCAUUAACCACGGAGUUCACCCUCCUCUCUUUGUUCCUUCAAUUUGAUUUAAUUCAAGGGAUGAUAUCAAGCUUGUACGAAGAUGGUACACGUGUAUGGAAAUAUAUCUUACGAUGCAAGAAAAUAAAUAAUAUAUUGAAGAAAAGUAUGUAAGUAUGAGCAAGUAUUUUUCUAUUUUUCUAUUGCAUUAUGUAGAACAGAAUUAAUUAUACAAUAAAUUUUCAGAUAUUUUAUAAUAUGUGCAUCUUGUCUUCAGAUAAAUUGAGACCGUCCGUCCAAGAAUUCUUGGAGUUCAAAAAUUUUGUCUAAAAAAUUAUUCAACAUCUCCUAUCUAAUAGUUUUUUCUUUUUCAUUCUGUGAAUAAUUAAUAAACGAUUGGCGAGGAAGCUUUGAGAGUGUGAGAAGAUGUAUGCCUCGAAUAGAUCCAGAUUGCUGAUGAAGGGUUAAUCUUCGCUGAUGCAACACGAUCCGUCCAUUGGUCGAAAAAUUCCUGACGAAUUCUCUCCUCUUGUUUUCGAUCCGAUCUAAUCAGAUGGUAAUAGCACCUGCGAAGCCAAGAGUCCAACCACCUGGACUCGAUCUACCGCGUGCGAUGAUUAAUAAUUGGUGUCUGGCGAGGAUAGGGAUGGAAUCGCGUGCGCCUAAUUCGUAGGCGGGAGUUUCUUUUUUUUUUUGAGUUAUUGGCCUUUGUGCCCUUUUGCCCAUCGGAAUGGGGACACUCGAUCAAACGUGGUAAUACAAACGGAGAUCGUUCCGUUCGCCGCGCUUGAAAACGGCGUGGAAGUGGAAAAAUGAAGCAGUUUCUCUUUACUGAUGUCGGCAAGAAAAGAGGAAACGCGAGGAGAAAAAUCGGGGACACGAGCGCAAGGAGUUGGACAUCGCCGACAGGAAAAUCCACUAGGCAUAGGUUGGCGAAUUGGGAAAACAUGUCACCCCAUAAGCCCAAUCUUAUUUCACUCGUGCUCUCUGUCUCGGUCGGGAGCAGCCGCGCCUGUAAACAUCCGACAGAGACAAAGGAGGAACUAAAACGUGCCGGAACGAUUCCGUUUUAACGGUGAAUUUAUAGCGGCGCGUGAUUUUCGCCCCGAGAAGAUUUCCACGGGCCACCUCUCCUUUUUCUUCCUUCGAAUCCGCAACCGUGAAAAUACUUCUUCCCUUCGAUAACGCGGAAACGAGAAUCGGAAUCGAGAUCGCGAUGGUAUUCCGGUGAGUACGCGCAUUAUAAAGAAAUAACGUAAUUCUUCACCAUUCUCCAAAGGGACAAAUUUUCCAG
This 6849-nucleotide long non-coding RNA is filed under the name Apis mellifera (honey bee). Its description in RNAcentral is "uncharacterized LOC100576546". Lineage: Eukaryota; Metazoa; Arthropoda; Insecta; Hymenoptera; Apidae. The record is from RNAcentral.